Molecule: transfer RNA, 73 nt
Filed under: Ovis aries (sheep)
Lineage: Eukaryota; Metazoa; Chordata; Mammalia; Artiodactyla; Bovidae
Rfam family: tRNA
About the family: Transfer RNA (tRNA) molecules are approximately 80 nucleotides in length. Their secondary structure includes four short double-helical elements and three loops (D, anti-codon, and T loops). Further hydrogen bonds mediate the characteristic L-shaped molecular structure. tRNAs have two regions of fundamental functional importance: the anti-codon, which is responsible for specific mRNA codon recognition, and the 3' end, to which the tRNAs corresponding amino acid is attached (by aminoacyl-tRNA synthetases). tRNAs cope with the degeneracy of the genetic code in two manners: having more than one tRNA (with a specific anti-codon) for a particular amino acid; and 'wobble' base-pairing, i.e. permitting non-standard base-pairing at the 3rd anti-codon position.
Source: Rfam by way of RNAcentral
UCUCUGGUAGUCUAGCGGCUAAGACUCUUUGCCCCCAAUGCAGGGGGCCUGGGUUCAAUCCCUGGUCAGGGAA